GGUGGGUUUGGUCACAGGCGCGCAUGCCCUUCAGUUCAGUCAGCAGAACUUAUGAGCAAAACCGAAUCCUACCUAGGACUCCGGUUAAUACUGCGGUCAAUCCGAGAUCAGUCAGAAUAUUUAGGCUACAUAUCUCUGGUUUACUAGGAGCCCGCAGCACUAGGCCCUAUGUCUUUAUUAUUAUUAUAUCAUUAUUACUGGCUACACCACAGCAUUGGCGGAGUCACGGGAGUAGGGAAACGGCAGCGCUCAAACCGCAGAUCACGGAGCCGCGACCCGGGACCGCCAGGCUGAGGAUGGGACUUCCUCCACCUCUAGUCCGUGCCAGUGCUGUGCGUCCACCCUGCCCUCCCUCCGCCAUGGGGCCCGCGUCCCUCACCGCGAAGCCUAGAAGCCGCCAGGGCCCAAGCUGCAGACCCGAGGGGCCAGCCACAAAGACCGGAAGUGCGCCCGGCGGCCUUCCGCUCGCGAACCCGGCAGCCUCUGCCCGCCACGCCCCUUUCUCGAAAUCAGCCAAUCAGCGCCGUGGGUUCUACUCUUCCUAUCGCUUCCCGGCUGUUUGGCUGCCCGAGUGCAGAGUGCCGCGAGAGGGUGCCCUGAGGAAUGUAGCUGUUAAAAGAAAGGAGUAUAAGCAGAGACUUCAAUGCCAGGGAUCACAGUGUGAUGUGUUGAGAAAUCUAACUCCUUCAAGAGAAAAAUGAUGACACAGAGCAAGUUACUUCUCUCUUCUAAGACAAUGGUAGGUGACCAGUUCUCUCCAGUGCCCUUUCUGUCAAAAGAGACUAUUUAGAACAUGUAGAUCCGAAGAUUUCCAACACUGUAUCGAGCAGGUUUAUCACCUACCAGUUACUUGUGGGAGUCUUUAUUGCUGGGAGUUACACAUAGAUUAGGGGAGUUGAGUGUGUGGCUCACGGGUAAAUUGCCCAAAAGGGGGGCGGGACUGGAUGUAGAACUAGGAGUGAAAAUGGCAAUACUAGUGGGGAUCCAAGAAGGUUAAGAAUUGUAGAUUCUUAACUCUUUGAUGGGUGUCAGAGUCUCUGGAGAGCAGUGAAAAUAUCUUCUUUUCACCUAAUCCUUUAUUUAUUUAUUUUUUGAGACAGGUCUUGCUACAUAGUCCACAAUGGCCUUGUGAUCUUCUGGCCUUAGCCUCCUGAGUACUUCACAGCAUAUUUUAAUUCGGGCUUGGAUUGAGAGAAACAGCAUUGUCACCCCCACCUCCACUGUUACCACUAGUGGCAGCAGCCAACUGUGUGCUGAAUAUUAAGAAUUUUCUAAGCACAUUGCUAAACUCUUUGCAUGUAUUAUUUUAUUAAAUUCUCAUAAUAAC
This 1327-nucleotide long non-coding RNA is filed under the name Fukomys damarensis (Damara mole-rat). RNAcentral describes it as "lncRNA (ENSFDAG00000022308.1)". The record is from RNAcentral. Lineage: Eukaryota; Metazoa; Chordata; Mammalia; Rodentia; Bathyergidae.